Hyaena hyaena (striped hyena) is the source of this 616-nucleotide long non-coding RNA. RefSeq lists it as uncharacterized. The record is from RefSeq and is a predicted model, not a curated record. Lineage: Eukaryota; Metazoa; Chordata; Mammalia; Carnivora; Hyaenidae. The transcript has 2 exons.
CCCUUGUCUCUCCACCCUGCCACGCUGACCGACCUGGCACGCAGCAAGGACAGACUGAGAAGGAGUCACAGGGCUCCCACAGCAGCUGGGUGUGUAUGCAAAGAUCCUGUCUAUUCAGCAAAACCUCCAGGAGCAGCGCCGCCGUCAGCAGCCUCCUUCGGGAUUCCUCCAGCCCCAGCCAAGUGACAUAACUUCAUCUGUGAACGGAGAGAGUGACCUGCUCACCUGAGUGCCUGCAGAGCACAGAACUCACCACCAGGCACAGAUCACGGCUCGGAUGUAAUGGAGGCUUUGUGCAGGCUGGCCCCGAGCCCUGGCUGAUGGCAGGAGUAUGAGGGGAGCCAGCACGUACAGGGAGCCUUGUCACACCCGGAUGCACUCAAAACAGUCCCCAGAUCACAGAUGGUGGCUCCUAUGGCUCGGGGCCCUGGUUAGGAGUCGUGGGCUAGCAGCCAUGCUGGACGAUUACUAACUAGCCGCUGGGGGAGGGGAGCAGGGGCUAGGGUCAGGUUGAAGGGGCCAAAUCCACUGCUCUCUACCCAUCCCCCAGUGAUCACCACUAACUGCCCCCCCUCAAAAAAAAAAAAAAAACUCUUCAAAGAGUUCUGGAACUGGU